Molecule: long non-coding RNA, 349 nt
Organism: Canis lupus familiaris (dog)
Lineage: Eukaryota; Metazoa; Chordata; Mammalia; Carnivora; Canidae
Exons: 2
Source: RefSeq, a predicted model, not a curated record
CUCAAAGAGCGGGGAAUGUGUAGACGAUAGGGGUCCUAACUGAUCUGAAUUGGAAUUUAGAACCUGGGUGUGUCUGAAGAACACAUGAAAAUCCCCCACCACCCUUGGGUCUAUGGAGGAUGUAUGAAGGUGAGGGAAGACAAAGAAACUGAGACACAGAAAGAUGAGGAAACCUGCCAGGAUCUGAUCUCAGGCCGACUGAAACAUAAGCUUGUAUCUUAAGUGCUUUAUAAUGCUUGCAUUGCCCUGAGUCCAAGUAAAGGGAUAUAAAUAGAUGAACCUCUACUUAAUACCAUAUUUUUUUAAAUCAACAAACACAAAUAUAAAGGAAUAAAGUGGACUCUGAUUA